CAACCCUCAGGCCCCCGGGCCUGGCGUUGGGGAUCGGCGGAGCCCCCCGUGGGCACCCGCCGUCCCCUAAAUACAGUGGCGGUCCCGCCGCAGCUUCCAUUGCGUAGUAGCUAACACCUCGCAACUGGAGAGCGGCGCGGCCACGCCGUAAAACACCCAACUUCUGAA
Molecule: unclassified non-coding RNA, 168 nt
Filed under: uncultured Fusarium
Lineage: Eukaryota; Fungi; Ascomycota; Sordariomycetes; Hypocreales; Nectriaceae
Description: sequence contains ITS2
Source: RNAcentral